CGGAUCUCUUGGUUCUGGCAUCGAUGAAGAACGCAGCAAAAUGCGAUAAGUAAUGUGAAUUGCAGAAUUCAGUGAAUCAUCGAAUCUUUGAACGCACAUUGCGCCCGCCAGUAUUCUGGCGGGCAUGCCUGUUCGAGCGUCAUUUCAACCCUC
This 153-nucleotide ribosomal RNA is filed under the name Fusarium fujikuroi. RNAcentral's name for it is "5.8S ribosomal RNA". It matches the Rfam family "5.8S ribosomal RNA". Rfam says of the family: 5.8S ribosomal RNA (5.8S rRNA) is a component of the large subunit of the eukaryotic ribosome. It is transcribed by RNA polymerase I as part of the 45S precursor that also contains 18S and 28S rRNA. The record is from RNAcentral. Lineage: Eukaryota; Fungi; Ascomycota; Sordariomycetes; Hypocreales; Nectriaceae.